AUACCAUGAUGAGGACAUCUUCUGUGUAACUCCUUAAAUCUCUCUCAUGCAUCACACAAGCUCUCAUCUUCAAGUUGAUGGAAAAAUGUGAUCUCGUUCCUCAACUU
Citrus sinensis (sweet orange) is the source of this 107-nucleotide non-coding RNA. The record is from Rfam. NCBI's taxonomy places the organism in Eukaryota, Viridiplantae, Streptophyta, Magnoliopsida, Sapindales, Rutaceae.